This 280-nucleotide unclassified non-coding RNA is filed under the name uncultured fungus. Its description in RNAcentral is "partial contains small subunit ribosomal RNA, internal transcribed spacer 1, and 5.8S ribosomal RNA". The stretch from base 1 to 73 matches the Rfam family "Eukaryotic small subunit ribosomal RNA", at positions 1759 to 1831 of the family's 1831-position model. The record is from RNAcentral. Lineage: Eukaryota; Fungi.
GCAAACUUGGUCAUUUAGAGGAAGUAAAAGUCGUAACAAGGUUUCCGUAGGUGAACCUGCGGAAGGAUCAUUACUGAGGACUUGCCCUUAGGGGUAGAUCUCCCACCCUAUGCUUACAUACUUUGUUGCUUUGGCAGGCCUGCCCCUGUGCUACUGGCCUUGGCUGGUUAGUGUCUGCCAGAGAACCAACACUCUAAAUCAUUUAUUGUCCAAGUACUAUAUAAUAGUUAAAACUUUCAACAACGGAUCUCUUGGUUCUGGCAUCGAUGAAGAACGCAGC